Molecule: ribosomal RNA, 253 nt
Filed under: uncultured bacterium
Lineage: Bacteria
Description: partial 16S ribosomal RNA
Rfam family: Bacterial small subunit ribosomal RNA
Source: RNAcentral
UACGUAGGGUGCAAGCGUUAAUCGGAAUUACUGGGCGUAAAGCGUACGCAGGCGGCUAUGUAAGACAGGUGUGAAAUCCCCGGGCUUAACCUGGGAACUGCAUUUGUGACUGCAUGGCUGGAGUGCGGCAGAGGGGGGUGGAAUUCCGCGUGUAGCAGUGAAAUGCGUAGAUAUGCGGAGGAACACCGAUGGCGAAGGCAAUCCCCUGGGCCUGCACUGACGCUCAUGCACGAAAGCGUGGGGAGCAAACAGG